CGAUGGUAAGGUAGUGUCUUACCAUGGUUGUAACGGGUAACGGACCGUGGGUGCGGGAUUCCGGAGAGGGAGCCUGAGAAACGGCUACCACAUCCAAGGAAGGCAGCAGGCGCGUAAAUUACCCCAUCCAGACUCUGGGAGGUAGUGACAAGAAAUAUCAAUGGGGGAACCUAUGGUUCUUCCAAUUGGAAUGAGAUCGAGCUAAAUAGCCAAAUCGAGAAUCCAGCAGAGGGCAAGUCUGGUGCCAGCAGCCGCGGUAAUUCCAGCUCUGUAAGCGUAUACCAAAGUUGUUGCAGUUAAAACGCUCGUAGUCGGACAUUGGCAAUUCCGGGAGUGUGCGCGUCGUGUGCGCACUCUGCGGGGGUUGCUUUUGUGGUAUUGUGUGUGAUGAAGCAUUUUAAUUAAUGAACGUCUAUCGCAACCACUUUUUACAAGAAAAUUAGAGUGUUCAAAGCAGGCAUUUGUCGUGAAUACAUUAGCACAGAAUAAUAGAAUAGGACUUGUUUCUAUUUUGUUGGUUUGUGAGGAAUGAGUAAUGAUUAAGAGGGACAGUUGGGGGCAUUUGUAUUUGGAGGCUAGAGGUGAAAUUCUUAGAUUCUCCAAAGACAAACUGCUGAGAAAGCGUCUGCCAAGGAUGUUUUCAUUGAUCAAGAACGAAAGUAAGGGGAUCGAAGACGAUCAGAUACCGUCGUAGUCUUUACUAUAAACGAUGAGGACUGGGGAUCGGGCGAGGCAUUACGAUGACCCGCCCGGCACCCUUCGAGAA
RNAcentral lists this ribosomal RNA (766 nucleotides) under Amphiroa rigida. RNAcentral's name for it is "SSU rRNA". It matches the Rfam family "Eukaryotic small subunit ribosomal RNA", at positions 323 to 1096 of the family's 1831-position model. Lineage: Eukaryota; Rhodophyta; Florideophyceae; Corallinales; Lithophyllaceae. The record is from RNAcentral.